Molecule: long non-coding RNA, 1677 nt
Filed under: Arabidopsis lyrata
Lineage: Eukaryota; Viridiplantae; Streptophyta; Magnoliopsida; Brassicales; Brassicaceae
Description: long non-coding RNA (ALYR_LNC001116)
Source: RNAcentral
GACAUUAUUGGCCUUGAUGUGUCCAGUGAUAUCAGGCUCUUCUUUGAAUCAAGCUUCCUCUCCCAGCACCAAAACGAAACUCACAUUCGUUUGAUUCCAAAAGUAACAAGCCCAAGGAAAGUCUCGGAGUAUAGACCAAUAGCUCUUUGUACCGUGCAUUACAAAAUUAUUGCAAAGAUUCUUACAAAGAGACUCCAACCAUUGCUAGAUACUCUCAUCUCUACCAAUCAAUCGGCCUUUGUUCCAAAUAGAGCUAUAUCCGAUAACAUGUUGAUCACUCAUGAGAUCCUCCACUUUUUGCGUACUUCAGAAGCUAAAGUAAGAUGCUCUAUGGCGGUUAAGACCGACAUGAGCAAAGCAUACGAUCGUAUUGAAUGGUCCUUUCUUGAGGCUGUCCUAAGGCAACUUGGUUUUCAUGAGAAAUGGAUAUCUUGGAUUAUGGCGUGUGUAGGCUCUGUUUCCUACUCCUUCCUCAUCAAAGGCUCUCCCAAAGGUCAAGUCAUUCCUUCUCGAGGCUUAAGACAAGGAGACCCUCUCUCCCCUUACCUCUUUAUAUUGUGUACCGAAGUUCUUUCCGGUCUUUGUCAACGUGCUCAAGACCGAGGUCACUUGCCGGGUAUUAAAGUAGCUCGUGGCAGCCCGCCCAUCAAUCACUUGCUCUUCGCCGACGACACAAUGUUCUUUUGCAGAACAAAGCCAAAAAGUUACAAGAAACUCAAGGAAAUCAUAGCCCGGUAUGGAGAAGCUUCGGGUCAGGUCAUUAACUUCGAUAAAUCAGCCAUUACCUUCUCUAAUAAAACCCCUGCAGCAACAAAAGCCUUUGCUAAGAUAACUUUGGGUAUAGAGAAGGAAGGAGGGGUUGGUAAAUACCUUGGCUUACCGGAGCACUUUGGAAGAAGAAAGAAGGACAUUUUCACUUCAAUGGUGGACAAAAUUCGCCAAAGGUCUCAUAGUUGGACUUCUAAAUUUCUCUCCGCAGCCGGCAAGCAAGUUCUUUUAAAAUCCGUCAUAGCAGCGAUGCCGCUCUACGCUAUGUCAUGCUUCAAGCUCCCUUUAUCACUGUGCAAGAGAAUACAAUCAAUCUUAACUCGAUUCUGGUGGGAUAGCAAACCCGAGAAGCGUAAAAUUAGCUGGGUUGCUUGGGAUACUUUGACUCUACCUAAAUCUGAAGGUGGCUUAGGUUUCAGGGAAAUAGCACAAUUCAAUGAUGCCCUCUUAGCUCGCAUCAGCUGGAAAAUCUUGAAUUUCCCGGACUCAUUGCUGGCUCGGGUUCUUCUUGGCAAAUACUGUAAUGAGAAGCCCUUUCUAGAAGUUUCAGUUGCUUCUUCUUGCUCUCAUGGCUGGAGGAGCAUCAUGGCAGGUCGUGAAGUGCUGAGGAAAGGACUUGGUUGGACUGUUGGUGAUGGUACCCUAAUCAAUAUCUGGCAGGAACUCUGGCUUUCCAUCAACCACCCUUUGCAACCAAUCGGCCCUCCUACAGAAGCAAACAGAGAACUAAAAGUCAGUGCUCUGCUAUCCCAGGAAUCUAAUGAUUGGAACUUAGCCUCUAUCCGCCAACACUUACCUCAGUAUGAGGCUACCAUACGCAGGCUGAUCCCGAGCUCUAGGAAAAAGAAAGACUCUCUUGUUUGGCUCCCUGAGAAAUCCGGCUCAUUUUCAACUAAGCCUGGCUACAUC